Panicum virgatum (switchgrass) is the source of this 1850-nucleotide long non-coding RNA. RefSeq lists it as uncharacterized. Lineage: Eukaryota; Viridiplantae; Streptophyta; Magnoliopsida; Poales; Poaceae. The record is from RefSeq and is a predicted model, not a curated record. The transcript is spliced from 2 exons.
GAGCCCCAGCAUAGCGCCCAUGAAGGGGAAGAAGCCACGGGGGGAAGAGAAGUAGAAGGAGAAGAGGAAAACUCGACGCCCGCAACCUGUUCAGCGAAACGCCGGAGCCAGAAUACGUCUUCGUCAAGCCAGCGCCCAUACGCAGAUGUCGACGCAGCGGCUCUGCACGGCAUGGCCUCAACCCGCCGGCCUCGCCUCGCCACAGCCCCGACCUUGCCCUCUUCGAGCCGAAACGGUCCUGACGAGAAGGAGUUGAUCGACGUUCCAAGCAACCAGCGGAUCCAGAAGGACUACCCCAACACCCGGAGAAUCCAGAAGGACGUACCGGACGACUAGAAGACGUCAUAGACCGAGGAAGGCUACGAACACCUAUCAGGUUCACGCCCGUCCGCGAUUGAGUACUUAUUAGGCAUUGCAUGCUAGAUACGCUACGCUCCCAAAUUGAAUGUGAUGAGAUGAGCUUGCAUGGCCAUUUAUUUACUGUAUUCCUUUAUUCCCAUACUUAGACAUGAAUUGUUGUAUGCUAUUGCUACUAUGAGUGAGAUUUGGGGUAUGGGAAUAUAUGAUGUGAUAGUUCUUGCUUGCUGGAAGUUUGCCUCCACAUAUAUGGGAGUUGGUGAUUAGGUUACGGCGGGGGCGAGCGGACCCUUUCCCUGAUCUUCAGAUCGGGAGCCGGAGAUUGUGCGUUGGGCGCGAUCCUGAGCAGGUCCUGUAAUUGGGUGAAGGGCACCUGUGGCGGGUGCUAGAUCAUUCCCGUGGAAACAUGGUAGAGGUGUAGUAAUGGAGGCGAUACUUGUGAUGGGUAUCGAUUGCAGACCGUGUUGACGGAAUGCUACUUUGGACGAAGACACUCACCUCAGUCGGAUGAAUGACUUGACUUUGUGGCCCUAGUGACGGAACUAUGUCAAAUGUGCACACCACUUAUCCUUUAUGAGGGGGGACCCAACCCGAGCUAGCUAUGCGCGGCAUCAUACCUGUAGGAGGAUAGAGUUUUCGUGUCAGGGGGAAUGGGCGAGACCCUGAGCCCCCGAUCAUAGGAUCCAUGAGGAUUCCUUUCUAGAUUGCUUCACAACCCUGGGCGACCUUCUGCGGGAGGACGCACCCCAAACCGGGAGUAGGAUGGUGCCGUAGCCGUUAGUUUUGUUGACUGGUGCCUCGGAGAAAGUUGGCUGAUCCCCGGCUGGAUUUGGGGCGAGUGGGUACAGGUGUACAACCCCUGCAAGGUGAAAACUAUACGUAUAGCCGCGUACUCGGUCAUGUACAACUCUGGAUCUGGCACCACAUUGUAGUGAGAACCACAUAUACUUUUCUACCUCCCUCAAGUCCACUUUUCCUACUCGGAUAGCAGCUGAGGUGCGGGGAGAGGGAGUUCCCGCACCGAAACAGGGUUGAGACAGUUGUAGUGGAAGAUAGGAGACCGGGAGUCCGGAACGCCAGAGCUGCCCACGUCGGAAGGAGAUUUGGAUGAUUUAUUUAUAUAUUGCUUGCAUAGGAAGACUUAGCCUAUCCAUGGCAUUAUCUUUAUACCAUUUGCAACCACAUAAAGCUUGCAUACAGAUGGUGACGUGAACCUAUCCCGUCCUUGGGGAUAGCCUGAUAGAUGCAGAAUCUAAGUGAAGGAGUCGACAGGAUGACAGGCCCGAGCUACACUCCGAGCUGCCUAUGGAGAGGAUUCGUAAAGAUGAAAUUUGCCCAGAAGACUAGAUAUCGUUUCCACUUUCUAUUUGUUUUCUUUUAGCCCAAGGGGCUUGUACUCUGAGAUUCGUAUUACUAUCCUUCGGAUUAUGUAAUUCAUAAAUCCAUGUGAUAUUGUAAACGUGAGAUAUGUCUGUGAUAUUCGAUUAAAAUGA